CGAUACUAAUAAACAAGCAAAAAUAUAUGUAAUGAACAAAAACAUCUUCAGUCAUAAAAAAUUUUUAAAAAGGAUACUUAGGAACAAGAGAAAUCCAAUUUUGAUCAGGAAAAAAUGCUUAGAGAUAGAAAUAUUUACCAAAACAUCUUUAUUUGCGGUCUGCAAAAGGCAUGAAAGAGUGAAAUAUAUCAAAAAGGCUAAAUAACUGUGCAAGACGAAAACAAUAACAAUAAAAUAGAAAACAACUUGGCAAGUCAAAAGGUACAAAAAGGUCCUUAAAAAGGACAACAAUGAAAAAAGUUGUGCAAUGUGCAGGAAAAUUAGAGAAAGAGUGAAAUCCUCUUGUUUAUUAUCACAAACCAUGAUAAUAACAACAACAACAAAAAUAUCACAAAUUUUAAACAGUCAAAAUUUUUGGCAUAACACGUGGAGGCGUCGCGUCAGCAGCGGAAGCAUUUGUAAUGCAAUAUAGCAAUUUCCUUCGUAAUGAUGUUAGCAGCGCAAAAUAUUUCCGCCGCAUCUAUAAAGAUUGCAGUCUAUAAUAAGAACGAAAGCUAAACAUAAUUCUACAAAUUUCAUAAAACAAUCAUGCAACACUACGUAUAACGGUGUAACGCCUUCUUCUGCAUGCGGGUGUUGAACAAAUAGGAAAAUGAGGGAUUAGUGAGUGCUGGACAAAUGAAAAAUAAAUGAAACAGGCGAUGAAUAUAGCGCAAGUGGCAGUGCGCCAGAGGAAGGCGAGGGAAAAGAUGUUGGAAAAAUCUGCAUAGAAAACACAGCGACGCCGUAAGCAUUUCUGCGCACUUAAAUUUAGUGUUUGUAAAAGAAAAAUAAUAA
Long non-coding RNA from Ceratitis capitata (Mediterranean fruit fly), 837 nucleotides. RefSeq lists it as uncharacterized. The transcript is spliced from 3 exons. The record is from RefSeq and is a predicted model, not a curated record. Lineage: Eukaryota; Metazoa; Arthropoda; Insecta; Diptera; Tephritidae.